RNAcentral lists this non-coding RNA (76 nucleotides) under unclassified sequences. Its description in RNAcentral is "DUF3800-VIII RNA". It matches the Rfam family "DUF3800-VIII RNA". From Rfam's summary of the family: Bacteroidetes, Cyanobacteria, Firmicutes, Planctomycetes (1 example), Proteobacteria, Tenericutes (1 example). The record is from Rfam by way of RNAcentral.
GCAGCCCUGCGAUGCGCGAACGCUCAAGUUCCACUUGGGAUGGCCCGGUGAACCCGGCUAGCGCACGCGGGGCUGU